Molecule: ribosomal RNA, 528 nt
Filed under: uncultured bacterium
Lineage: Bacteria
Description: bacterial SSU rRNA
Rfam family: Bacterial small subunit ribosomal RNA
Source: RNAcentral
CGGCAGCACGAGAGAGCUUGCUCUCUUGGUGGCGAGUGGCGGACGGGUGAGUAAUAUAUCGGAACGUGCCCAGUAGCGGGGGAUAACUACUCGAAAGAGUGGCUAAUACCGCAUACGCCCUACGGGGGAAAGGGGGGGAUCGCAAGACCUCUCACUAUUGGAGCGGCCGAUAUCGGAUUAGCUAGUUGGUGGGGGGAAGGCUCACCAAGGCAACGAUCCGUAGCUGGUUUGAGAGGACGACCAGCCACACUGGGACUGAGACACGGCCCAGACUCCUACGGGAGGCAGCAGUGGGGAAUUUUGGACAAUGGGGGAAACCCUGAUCCAGCCAUCCCGCGUGUAUGAUGAAGGCCUUCGGGUUGUAAAGUACUUUUGGCAGAGAAGAAAAGGUACCUCCUAAUACGAGGUACUGCUGACGGUAUCUGCAGAAUAAGCACCGGCUAACUACGUGCCAGCAGCCGCGGUAAUACGUAGGGUGCAAGCGUUAAUCGGAAUUACUGGGCGUAAAGCGUGUGUAGGCGGUUCGGA